RNAcentral lists this ribosomal RNA (1912 nucleotides) under human gut metagenome. Its description in RNAcentral is "bacterial LSU rRNA". It matches the Rfam family "Bacterial large subunit ribosomal RNA", at positions 3 to 1999 of the family's 2925-position model. The record is from RNAcentral.
UCAAGCUACAAAGAGCACAAGGGGAAUGCCUUGGCACCGAGAGCCGAAGAAGGACGUGACUAACUGCGAUAAGCUGCGGGGAGCCGUAAGUAGGCUUUGAUCCGCAGAUUUCCGAAUGGAGCAAUCCGGCAAGAGGAAAGUCUUGUCAUCAUAUACUGAAUACAUAGGUAUAUGAGGGGAACCGCCUGAACUGAAACAUCUAAGUAGGGCGAGGAAGAGAAAUCAACUGAGAUUCCGUAAGUAGUGGCGAGCGAACGCGGAAGAGGCCAAACCGAGAGUAGUAAUACUUUCGGGGUUCGGACAGAAUACGGCAUUGUAAAGGUUUAGUGGAAUGGAAUGGGAAGUCCAACCGAAGAAGGUGAGAGUCCUGUACACGAAAAGCCUGAACAGCCAUCUGUAUCCAGAGUACCGCCGGACACGUGAAACCCGGUGGGAAGACGGGGGGACCAUCCUCCAAGCCUAAAUACUACUCGGUGACCGAUAGUGAAGAAGUACUGUGAAGGAAAGGUGAAAAGUACCCCUGACGGGGAGUGAAAAAGAACCUGAAACCUUGUGUUUACAAGCACCGAAAGCUCAUCAAAGAGCGAUCGGGUACCUUUUGUAGAAUGGUCCGGCGAGUGAAUGUAACCGGCGAGGUUAAGCACUUAAGGUGUGAAGCCGCAGCGAGAGCAAGUCUGAAUAGGGCGUAUGAAGUCGGUUGUAUUCGACCCGAAACCGGGUGACCUACCCAUGGUCAGGUUGAAGUAAAGGUAAAACUUUAUGGAGGACCGAACCGACUCCCGUUGAAAUGGUAGCGGAUGAACUGUGGGUAGCGGAGAAAUUCCAAUCGAACCCGGAGAUAGCUGGUUCUCUCCGAAAUAGCUUUAGGGCUAGCCUUGAAAUAGAUUACCGGAGGUAAAGCACUGAAUUGGCUAGGGGCCGAGAGGUUACUGAACCUUAUCAAACUAAGAAUGCCGGAUAAUCGUUUUUCAGGAGUCAGACAGUGGGAGAUAAGUUUCAUUGUCAAAAGGGAAACAGCCCAGACCCACAGCUAAGGUCCCCAAGUAUAGUUAAGUGGAAAAGGAUGUGGAAUUGCACAGACAACCAGGAUGUUGGCUUAGAAGCAGCCACUCAUUAAAAGAGUGCGUAAUAGCUCACUGGUCGAGUGACUCUGCGCGGAAAAUGUAACGGGGCUAAGCAUCUAACCGAAGCUUAGGAUUGUCGUAAGACAGUGGUAGGGGAGCGUUCCAUGUGGGGUGAAGUCGCAGCGGAAGCAGCGGUGGACUGCAUGGAAGUGAGAAUGCCGGAAUGAGUAGCGAGAAUUAUGUGGGAAUCAUAAUGGCCGAAAAUCUAAGGUUUCUUGGGGAAGGUUCGUCCGCCCAAGGUAAGCCGGGAGCUAAGGCGAGGCCGAAAGGCGUAGUCGAUGCACAUACGGUUGAAAUUCCGUAGCCACCGAAACUUAAACCAGAAGGACACUUGGAGCUAUCCGAACCCGGGCGUUGGUUGACCCGGGCGUAAGGGACCGAAAUUAAGUAGGGAAGUCGGAGAAUGACGAGGCGAGAAAAGUUCUGGUGUAUGCUAAGGUGCCCGUACCGCAAACCGACACAGGUAGAUGAGGAGAGAAUCCUAAGGCCAACGGGAGAAGGGUUGUUAAGGAACUCGGCAAAAUUACCCCGUAACUUCGGGAUAAGGGGAGCCCCCUACGGGGGGCCGCAGAGAAUAGGCCCAAGCGACUGUUUACCAAAAACACAGGUCUAUGCUAAAUCGAAAGAUGACGUAUAUGGGCUGACGCCUGCCCGGUGCUGGAAGGUUAAGAGGAGAGCUUAGCGCAAGCGAAGGUUUGAAUUGAAGCCCCAGUAAACGGCGGCCGUAACUAUAACGGUCCUAAGGUAGCGAAAUUCCUUGUCAGGUAAGUUCUGACCCGCACGAAUGG